GGCGGAUUGGCUUAUUUUUCUUUUUGGUGUGUGCUAGGGUUAUAGGUUAGGCAAACUAUUGUUUUGUUGUUGUAUUUUAUUGAUUUAAUACUUUGAAUUAUAGUUUACUUGUACUGUGGGGGUUUAUUGAUUUGUUUUUGUAAGUAGUCUUUAAUUGUCGUACCUUGUGUCUCAGGGUUUAUUAAUUUUUAUUAUUUAUUUUUAUUUCCCGAUCUCAGAGGAGUUAAGUAUUUAUUUUAGUUACUGUUUCAUUAUUAUUAAUAAUAUUUACUUGGUAGUGAUAUGUUAAUCGUUUCUGGAGGUAUCUGGUUCCUUGAGAAGUGAAUUUAAUUCGUGCUUUUUGUUUAGAGCUCAUUUUUGUUUGUUUGGCUUAACAGUUGGCAAAGGUGUUGGGGGACAAGCUUCGGCACUAUUUUUAUAAUAUUUUUGUUUGGUCUAUCUUGUGGGCUUUAUGUUGGCCACCUAUUUGAGUAUUUUAAAAUUCUGUUUUCUGUAUUUUUGAUUUUCUUUUAUUUAAUGUUUUUAUUGGGGUGUUUGGUUUAAUUUUUUAUUUGUAGUAUUUUUGGUUAAAUUAGUAUAUUUGAUUUUAUUUGAUUUGGUUUGAUGUCAUGCUUUUUAAAGGAAUUAGGCAAAGAUUUAAUGUCCGCCUGUUUAACAAAAACAUCUCUUCUUGUUUGUUGAUUUGAAGUAUGGCCUGCCCGCUGAGGUUAUUGAAGGGCCGCGGUAUUUUGACCGUGCAAAGGUAGCAUAAUCAUUAGCUCUUUAAUUGUGAGCUGGUAUGAAUGGUUUGACGAGGCAUUAACUGUCUUUAACUUAAGGGUUGUUGAAUUUGUUUUUUAGGUAAGAAUACCUGGAUUUUUUUAUGGGACGAGAAGACCCUAUAGAGUUUUAUAUGACGCAUUUCCUUUAGUUUGUUGUGUUUGUGGGGUGUUGGUUUAUAUUUUGUUGGGGCGAUGAGAAGGUAGGUGUAACCCUUCUUUUAUUGUGUUUUCACUUAUUUGUGCUUUUUUGAUCCUUUUUAUUGAUUGUAAGACUAAAUUACCUUAGGGAUAACAGCAUAAUCUUUUUUGAGAGUUCUUAUUGACAAAAGGGUUUGUGACCUCGAUGUUGGAUUAAGAUGAAUUUUUGGUGUAGAGGCUUUAUUGUUUUGAUUAGGUCUGUUCGACCUUUAAAAUCUUACAUGAUCUGAGUUCAAACCGGCGUGAGCCAGGUUGGUUUCUAUCUAUAAUUUUCUUUUAUUUCUUAGUACGAGAGGACCAGACGUUUGGAAUAAUUUUCUUGUUUUGAGGUUUAUUAAUUU
This 1300-nucleotide ribosomal RNA is filed under the name Cryptotermes secundus. RNAcentral's name for it is "16S ribosomal RNA". The stretch from base 861 to 1228 matches the Rfam family "Archaeal large subunit ribosomal RNA", at positions 2150 to 2716 of the family's 2987-position model. Lineage: Eukaryota; Metazoa; Arthropoda; Insecta; Blattodea; Kalotermitidae. The record is from RNAcentral.